RNAcentral lists this long non-coding RNA (253 nucleotides) under Lathyrus oleraceus (garden pea). RNAcentral's name for it is "Pisum sativum (pea) long non-coding RNA (PSAT_LNC001148)". The record is from RNAcentral. Lineage: Eukaryota; Viridiplantae; Streptophyta; Magnoliopsida; Fabales; Fabaceae.
AACAACAUGAAAAGAAAGAAAGAGAAAAGCGAAAAACCAUAAAAGAACAGCUUUUGAAAAAUGCUACAUUCACUAUAGAUAAAAGGAAAAGAGGAUUGCAAAACCCUACAGGAAUAAUAGGAAAGAAACGUAGUGAGAGAAUGAUUUCAUGUACUCUGAACCAAAAGACCCAAAAACCGUUGUUCCAAUUUCAUACCCUACCUAAACCAAAGCCCCGUUACAACCCAAAAAGACCUCAAAAAGUGUGUGUGAU